This 403-nucleotide ribosomal RNA is filed under the name uncultured bacterium. Its description in RNAcentral is "partial 16S ribosomal RNA". It matches the Rfam family "Bacterial small subunit ribosomal RNA", at positions 30 to 526 of the family's 1533-position model. The record is from RNAcentral.
AUUGAACGCUGGCGGCAGGCCUAACACAUGCAAGUCGAGCGAGCGGCGGACGGGUGAGUAAUGUAUGGGGACUGCCCGAUAGAGGGGGAUAACUACUGGAAACGGUGGCUAAUACCGCAUACUAUCGGAUAACCCAUAUGGGAUUAGCUAGUAGGUAAGGUAAUGGCUUACCUAGGCGACGAUCCCUAGCUGGUCUGAGAGGAUGAUCAGCCAAACUGGGACUGGGACACGGCCCAGACACCUACGGAGGCAGCAGUGGGGAAUAUUGCGCAAUGGGCGCAAGCCUGAUGCAGCCAAGGCGAGUGAAUGAAGAAGGCCCUAGGGUAGUAAAGUACUUUCAGUCGAGAGGCGUUAGCGACAGAAGAAGCACCGGCUAACUCCGUGCCAGCAGCCGCGGUAAUAC